GCACAAGGGCCGACUGUAGCUGGGGAAAGACAGUUUACUCAUUUGCUCUCUCCUUUCACACAGUCAGCUGGCCCUCUUCUCAGGUGUAGAUCACCUAUUAUCAUUUCACCUGUUUUGAUUCUCUGAUGAGGAAAGUCCCAAGACUUAUCAGCUGGGAUAGGCCUCAUUUACAAGACAGCUCUGUUCAGUAUUUGGAAGAAAGAAAGCCUGACAGGUUUCUCCGGAAAAGUGACCAUCCAUGGAAUGAAUGAAAUGUUCCCUUUCUAUUCCAGUAAAUUUAUCUCUCACAUUUAGGUCCAUAAUCUAUCUGCAGCUAGCCUUUAUGUAAGGUGAAGGGAUUGCAGUGGCAAAGCUAGGCUAGGUCUUGGAGGCUGGUGUAAGGCGAAGCGGGUGAAGGCAGGAGGCUGAUGGAGAGACUGAGGGGAAUAAAAGCCGAAAUGGAUUCACGGUGCCUUGGAUGGAGGACGAGAGGGGAAUUGCAAGCUCCUUCAACUCGUUCUGUCCGGUGAGAAGUGAUCAAGCUUGGGCUGACAAGAGGCUCAGGGAGCCCUCACGUUCUUUCGCUUUUUUACCUGCCAAUCAAACUGCUACAAGACAACACCCUGAUCUGGCAUGGACAUCGCGGUUCCAAGCCUGUAGCCCCAAAUCGGAUAAUCUCUGCAGCUGAUAACAAGCAAAAGAGAAGCCAGGCAACAGCCAUAGUAAAGAAGAAAACAAUCAACUCUGAGGGUACAGACAGGCAUGCAGAAGUAACUAGACGUCCAACACAUGCCAAGGUCUUGCGGGCCCAGGAUUUCGAACAAAAGAAAACUCGGUAACGUGACUGUAAAUCAAGGGCAUUUGAGACCAUAGACGCGCGCACCACUGCAAGGGUUAAUUGGAGGAGAGGGAAGAGAGAGGCUCCACCUUGCAGUCUGUGUGAACUUCGGCCAGAAAAAGAGCUGGAGCUCCAGCCGCCGCCGGUGGGAGCCCUGCAGUCCGCGGCACGCGGUCCCUUGUUGUGGGGCAGGUGUGGCGCCGGGUAGAGGCGGGGCGCAACCUGGAAACUGCCGCCUGAGCUGUGGCCCGCGCCCUGCCUACCCUUUGGCGCAUCUGUUUCUUUAUUGCCUGAAAGCCAUCCGACGCGUUGAAGGCGCGAUUAUCGACAAUUUGUCAGCCCGAUUUUGUCGCUUGCAAUAACUUUUGGUGAAGUUUCACUCUCAGGCCCUUGAGUUUCGGGAUGAGGAAAUGUGGUAUGAGAGCAUUGUCCUGUGUUUGGCUUCUCAUUUCCACAGGACCCAGGCAGGCAGAAGAAGGGAAAAGAAAGUUAAUCCGACUGCAGUCACUCUGGCACACAAGCCAUGGGGAAACGGGAGAGAAACUUGUUCCUUCUCCUACAAAACUCUCCCCUUCCCCCUCAAGCCCCUCCCCCCACCAGGUCCUUUUUAAUAGAUCAGUCCCUCAUCUCCCCCCCCCUCCACACACGUAUUCUUGGGCCCACAAUUCUCUUGAGCAACCUAGGACUGAGUUUUUGUGUUUUGUUUGUUUUGCUUGCUUUUUCCUUUGUGUUUGUGGAUGUGGAUUGUUUCUCAGGGACCAGGGGCCAGGACCGCAGCUCUAAACCUGAACCGUUCACCUUCAUGAUCCCUUUCUUCCCCUCUUCUUGAUUGGUGGCUGUCGUGGCCAAGACCAUGCCCUUUCCUGAGCAUGGAGCAGUGGGGCAGCUGCUCUGAAGCAGCUGCUGUGCCUUACCCCUCUUUUCUCAAUCAUUAAAAUUCAAUUUCAAAAUUUCUGUCUUUAACAAUUUCCUAAGGAGACUAUGAAGAAUGCCAAAAGAGUGGGCCUUUUUUCAAGUGGUCAUGUUUCAGCAAAAGGCAGGCACAGUCCAAGUUGCCCUAGGUUGUGCCCUUAUAGGAGCAGGGCAGUGGAUGUUGUGUAAAAUGGAGUGCUGUGCCCACCUUGAACGAGAGACGAGCUCUGGCAGGUCAAGAACCUGGGGAGAGCAACUCCAGCUUUUCCAUCCACAUCACCCCUGCAGCUUGAUGGAGCACAGCACCAAGCAGGAAGUUCUCAUUUUUUUUUUUUUUUUAAUGUCCACACCCAUGACAUACAGAAGUUUCUGGCCCAGGGAUUGAAUCUAAGUUUCAGCUAUGACCUAUGUGGCAGCUAUAGCAAUGCCAGAUCCCUUAACCCGCUGCACCAAGCUGGGGAUCAAACCCUCACCUCUGCAGCAACCCAAGCUGCUGCAGUUAGAUUUUUAACCCACUGCACCACAGCUGGAACUCUGGGGAAGUUCUCUUUAAUAGUUCCUCACUUUCUUCCUUGAUCCAAAAAGAAAAAUAUUUGUAUUCGGAAAGUUCUCUUCUGCUAAGAAGUUUCUAUUAACAUCUCUUUCUCCUUUCAGUGAAGUCUGUUUCUGGGUCAAGGGGAGUGUUUUAAGAAACAGAAAAAUAGAGACACACACAUAACUGCAAUAGGUAGCUGAACUUCAUCAGGAGCCUUGAGUAGCCAAGAAAACAUUCUUCUGAUGCAACUUCAGAGUUUCAUCCCCUGCUCCAAAAUUUAUCAUGUAAUUAGUACCCAAAAUGCCUCCUUUAACCAACACCCAUUGCAACCUAUGGAAAAGAUGUAGCAUUUUUUUUUUGAAAUUCUAGAUGGACCUAAGGAUUACCUGACUCCUAUUGCCAUCACCUCUUAAUCACACAAAACUGUUUUCCUAAACACCAACCUUUUUCCCUAUAAAAACCACUGACCCCUCAGUAUACCUAGUACCUUUUUUCCUCCCUUUAAAUUAUUAUUCCUUACUCUUUUCCGUUCUGGGGCCCUGAGCCAGAUUCUCAGAAUUAAUCCUGAGUUCUCCCAAAUGCCAUGACAAGUUAGAAGGGAAAUUGGGGGACUGCACUGAAAAUACAUGGUAUAGAGAGUAAAUGUUACAGCUGUUGACAAGUGGCAGUUUGGGGUAUCAGCAAUGAAUUCCACAUUUUUCUAUAGGCUUCUUUUUACUUCACUUUAGGAUCCACUGAUCCUAAUAGAAACAAGUUAAAACUGCAGUUCCCUUCGUGGCGCAGUGGUUAACGAAUCCGACUAGUAACCAUGAGGUUGUGGGUUUGAUCCCUGGCCUUGCUCAGUGGGUUAAGGAUCCGGCGUUGCUGUGAGCUGUGGUGUAGGCCGGUGGCUGCAGCUCCGAUUAGACCCCUAGCUUGGGAAUCUCCAUAUGCCCCUGGAGCAGCCAUAGAAAAGGCAAAAAGACCAAAAAAAAAAAAAAAAAAAAAAAAAAAA
Molecule: long non-coding RNA, 3258 nt
Filed under: Sus scrofa (pig)
Lineage: Eukaryota; Metazoa; Chordata; Mammalia; Artiodactyla; Suidae
Description: lncRNA (ENSSSCG00050016886.1)
Rfam family: SOX2 overlapping transcript exon 3 (bases 345-620)
Source: RNAcentral